Long non-coding RNA from Artibeus jamaicensis (Jamaican fruit-eating bat), 1477 nucleotides. RefSeq lists it as uncharacterized. The record is from RefSeq and is a predicted model, not a curated record. The transcript is spliced from 3 exons. NCBI's taxonomy places the organism in Eukaryota, Metazoa, Chordata, Mammalia, Chiroptera, Phyllostomidae.
UCACUUCCACUCUCAUUUCAUUGGCCAAUGCAGUGACUAAUCUCAAGUCAGCAAGGAAGUGUAAUUCUCGUGUGCCUGGAAGAGGAGGAAAACUGUAAGCAUUGAUGAGAGGCAGUCAUAUCUCCCGUGGAGGUCAGUGACCAAGAACAACUUGGAACUGCAGUAGCCCGUCAAAUCCCUGUUUCCCUGAUUUCAAUGAGGCUUCAUCAUAAGCAUUUGGUGGAAAUGGCGCUGCUGUUCAAGACUGCAUUUGCGUACUGAAGGCAAACACAGCCAUAAUGAUAAUAAUUCUGGUUUCCUGAGCGACUUUUCUCAAAGCCUGUCAUUUCAUUUUCCAUUUCCCCAGAAUGGAGGUUUUAUCUCUGAAGGAUCUACUGAUGACUGACAGAAAGAAGUUAGCAGGAGGCAUGCGAGUUAAACAGAGAUCGUUGCUGCAAAUGGCUCGUUCCCAGAAGCCCCUUUCUCGGAAUUUCGGUUGUUGAUAACUAACAGGUUUUAUCUCCAGGAACUAAGAUAAGUUUUUCUUCACUUCUGGCCUGCCAACUUGUAGGCUGUCUCCAGCUGAGGCAAUGCUGCCAGAAUGAAUAACUGGAGAAUGCACUCAACUCUCUAUUUAUUUGGAAGUAUGAUAAUUUGAGGGAAAAUUAAAGUUGUCAGUUUUUCAUUGCACCCUGCAGCUCUCAGUGCUGGCUAUCUCAUCAGACUGCACGGAUAUACUUCUGCAUAAAACCGUGUAAACGAAUGGAAAAGACAAGAAAGAAAAGGCGGAAUUAACAUCUAGCUAAAGGCCACACAGUAUGUUUCAGGCAGGACUGGGCACCUGAACCCCUCGGCUGAUUGGACUGACGUCUUUAAGCUCUAGCCUGGGGCAGGGAGCAUGUGGAUGCUGAGAUCAUAAAGUUAUGCAAGGGGCAAGGGCAAUAAAUUUUAAAUGUACAAACACUGACCUGUGACGAGCUGUUCCAGAGGCCCAGUGACUGCGAGGACUUUGAGGGCCAAGGGUGUCUGUUUGCCUUUGUAUCCCAGGCUCCCAGCUCAGUGCCUGGCGUGUCAGCAGACACCCAGUCAAUGGCAAAUACAUUCUGUCGAAUACGUUCAGAGACUUAAAAAAUGUAAACCAGAUAACCCCAUUUCUCUGCUUAAAAUGCUGCAGUGGCUUCUUAUUUUCCUUAGUGUAAGAGUGCACACGGUCUGGUCAUUGCUAAUGGCUGCAUUUUCCAGUCUUCCUGCCCCAUCCAUCUCCCCACACAACCUCCGUUGGCUCCUUCUCCACUGGCGCAGCUCCCUUUGCACUGGCUGUUCUUUAGGACUGGACUCUGGGUCUACAUACAUAAAAGGCCACCUCCCUUACUAGUUUCAAUACUUUGGCCAAAUGUCGCUUUCUAUAAAGGCAUACUUCCACUGCCCUUUAAAAAAUUGCAGCCCUUCGCCCAGCCCCUGCCCACCCAUACCCCUGCUCUCCCCUAGCUGGUUCUGU